AAAACAUGUCUUUUAGAAAAAAUUUAAAGUCCAAUCUGCUCACUGAAUUUUUAAAGAGCCGCAGUAUUUUGACUGUGCAAAGGUAGCAUAAUCAAUAGUUUUUUAAUUGAGAACUAGUAUGAACGAUUAGACAAGAAACUGAUUUUCUUUGUUUUUAUAAAUUUAAUUUUAAGUUUAAGUGAAAAUGCUUAAAUGAUUUUAAAAGACGAGAAGACCCUAUAGAUUUUUAUUAUUGAUUUAAAUUCUAAAUAAUGAUUUAUUAAAAUAAUUUAAUUGGGGUGAUUAUGUAAUAUAAAAAACUUAAUUUAUUAAAACCAUAAAUAAUUGAAUGUGCGGAUUUAAAAUUUUUAAUUGAAAGAUUAAAUUACCUUAGGGAUAACAGCGUAAUUUUAUUUAAGAGUUCAUAUCUAUAAUAAAGCUUGCGACCUCGAUGUUGAAUUAAGAUAAUAUAUUGGAGUAGAAGCUAAUAUAAUUAGUCUGUUCGACUAUUAAAUUCUUACGUGAUCUG
This 508-nucleotide ribosomal RNA is filed under the name Indiopsocus sp. Ptsp.PU.06.17.2008.04. RNAcentral's name for it is "partial 16S ribosomal RNA". The stretch from base 375 to 508 matches the Rfam family "Bacterial large subunit ribosomal RNA", at positions 2473 to 2607 of the family's 2925-position model. The record is from RNAcentral. Lineage: Eukaryota; Metazoa; Arthropoda; Insecta; Psocodea; Psocidae.